UACGGGGGGGGCAAGCGUUGUUCGGAAUUACUGGGCGUAAAGGGCUCGUAGGCGGCCAACUAAGUCGGACGUGAAAUCCCUCGGCUCAACCGGGGAACUGCGUCCGAUACUGGAUGGCUUGAAUCCGGGAGAGGGAUGCGGAAUUCCAGGUGUAGCGGUGAAAUGCGUAGAUAUCAGGAGGAACACCGGUGGCGAAGGCGGGUCUCUGGGCCGAUACUGACGCUGAGGCACGAAAGCGUGGGGAGCAAACAGG
Molecule: ribosomal RNA, 253 nt
Filed under: uncultured bacterium
Lineage: Bacteria
Description: partial 16S ribosomal RNA
Rfam family: Bacterial small subunit ribosomal RNA
Source: RNAcentral